GCCAGCAGCCGCGGUAAUACGGAGGUUCCAAGCGUUGUUCGGAAUUACUGGGCGUAAAGGGAGCGCAGGCGGGCAAGUCAGUCUGAAGUGAAAUCCCGGGGCUCAACCUCGGACUUGCUUCGGAUACUGCUUGUCUUGAGUUCGUGAUAGGAAGACGGAAUUCAGGGUGUAGCGGUGAAAUGCACAGAUAUCCUGAGGAACACCGGUGGCGAAAGCGGUCUUCUGGCGCGAAACUGACGCUGAGGCUCGAAAGCGUGGGUAGCAAACGGGAUUAGAUACCCCGGUAGUCCACGCCGUAAACGUUGUGUACUAGGUGUAGGAGGUAUCGACCCCUUCUGUGCCGCAGCUAACGCAUUAAGUACACCGCCUGGGGAGUACGCGCCGCAGCGUGAAACUCAAAGGAAUUGACGGGGGCC
RNAcentral lists this ribosomal RNA (416 nucleotides) under uncultured bacterium. RNAcentral's name for it is "bacterial SSU rRNA". It matches the Rfam family "Bacterial small subunit ribosomal RNA", at positions 507 to 921 of the family's 1533-position model. The record is from RNAcentral.